AGUGAACGCUGGCGGUAGGCCUAACACAUGCAAGUCGAACGGCAGCACAGUAAGAGCUUGCUCUUACGGGUGGCGAGUGGCGGACGGGUGAGGAAUACAUCGGAAUCUACUUUUUCGUGGGGGAUAACGUAGGGAAACUUACGCUAAUACCGCAUACGACCUACGGGUGAAAGCAGGGGAUCUUCGGACCUUGCGCGAUUGAAUGAGCCGAUGUCGGAUUAGCUAGUUGGCGGGGUAAAGGCCCACCAAGGCGACGAUCCGUAGCUGGUCUGAGAGGAUGAUCAGCCACACUGGAACUGAGACACGGUCCAGACUCCUAUGGGAGGCAGCAGUGGGGAAUAUUGGACAAUGGGCGCAAGCCUGAUCCAGCCAUACCGCGUGGGUGAAGAAGGCCUUCGGGUUGUAAAGCCCUUUUGUCGGGAAAGAAAAGCAGCAGGUUAAUACCCCGCUGUUCUGACGGUACCCAAAGAAUAAGCACCGGCUAACUUCGUG
RNAcentral lists this ribosomal RNA (492 nucleotides) under uncultured bacterium. Its description in RNAcentral is "partial 16S ribosomal RNA". It matches the Rfam family "Bacterial small subunit ribosomal RNA", at positions 29 to 507 of the family's 1533-position model. The record is from RNAcentral.